CCUACGGGAGGCAGCAGUGGGGAAUAUUGCACAAUGGGGGAAACCCUGAUGCAGCAACGCCGCGUGAGCGAUGAAGGCCCUCGGGUCGUAAAGCUCUGUCCUAAGGGAAGAAUACUGACGGUACCUUAGGAGGAAGCCCCGGCUAACUACGUGCCAGCAGCCGCGGUAAUACGUAGGGGGCUAGCGUUAUCCGGAAUUACUGGGCGUAAAGGGUGCGUAGGCGGCCCUUCAAGUCAGAGGUGAAAGGCUACGGCUCAACCGUAGUAAGCCUUUGAAACUGUAGGGCUUGAGUGCAGGAGAGGGGAGGGGACUCCCAGUGUAGCGGUGAAAGGCGGAGAUAUUGGGAGGAACACCACUUGCGAAGGCGGCUCUCUGGCCUGUAACCGACCCUGAGGCACGAAAGCUUGGGGAGCGAACAGGAUUAAAAACCCCUGUAGUC
This 439-nucleotide ribosomal RNA is filed under the name uncultured bacterium. RNAcentral's name for it is "bacterial SSU rRNA". It matches the Rfam family "Bacterial small subunit ribosomal RNA", at positions 338 to 795 of the family's 1533-position model. The record is from RNAcentral.